This 495-nucleotide ribosomal RNA is filed under the name uncultured bacterium. RNAcentral describes it as "partial 16S ribosomal RNA". It matches the Rfam family "Bacterial small subunit ribosomal RNA", at positions 28 to 505 of the family's 1533-position model. The record is from RNAcentral.
GAUGAACGCUGGCGGCGUGCCUAAUACAUGCAAGUCGAGCGAACAGAUAAGGAGCUUGCUCCUUUGACGUUAGCGGCGGACGGGUGAGUAACACGUGGGUAACCUACCUAUAAGACUGGAAUAACUCCGGGAAACCGGGGCUAAUGCCGGAUAACAUGUUGAACCGCAUGGUUCUACAGUGAAAGGCGGCUUUGCUGUCACUUAUAGAUGGACCCGCGCCGUAUUAGCUAGUUGGUGAGGUAACGGCUCACCAAGGCAACGAUACGUAGCCGACCUGAGAGGGUGACCGGCCCACCUGGAACUGGGACCCGGUCCAGACCCCUACGGGGGGCCGCAGUAGGGAAUCUUCCGCAAUGGGGGAAAGCCUGACGGGGCAACCCCGCGGGGGUGAUGAAGGUCUUCGGAUCGUAAAACCUUUUUUUUGGGGAAAAAAAAAUGCGUAAGGAACUGUGCGGCUCUUGGCGGUACCUAAUCAGAAAGCCCCGGCUAACUACG